Molecule: transfer RNA, 139 nt
Filed under: Lentisphaeria bacterium
Lineage: Bacteria; Pseudomonadati; Lentisphaerota; Lentisphaeria
Description: tRNA-OTHER
Source: RNAcentral
CAUCGGGUGUAGCUCACCGGUAGAGCAGUCGAAGAGCGGGGAUCGUCUCCGGAAACGUAUGGGUCAAGCGUUGACGGAGCAGGUUUUUACCGUCCCCAGCGCGGCGUGUAGUGGGUUCGACUCCCACCCCCGAUGCCCA